GCCUAGUUAGCUCAGUUGGCAGAGCAUCCGGCUGUUAACCGGCAGGUCGUAGGUUCGAGCCCUACACUAGGCGCCA
RNAcentral lists this transfer RNA (76 nucleotides) under Spiroplasma chrysopicola DF-1. RNAcentral describes it as "tRNA-Asn (GTT) (tRNA-Asn-GTT-1-1)". It matches the Rfam family "tRNA". From Rfam's summary of the family: Transfer RNA (tRNA) molecules are approximately 80 nucleotides in length. Their secondary structure includes four short double-helical elements and three loops (D, anti-codon, and T loops). RNAcentral also lists the same sequence under 1 other name. The record is from RNAcentral. Lineage: Bacteria; Bacillati; Mycoplasmatota; Mollicutes; Entomoplasmatales; Spiroplasmataceae.